UCAGUGUGAAAACCCUGAGGUUGGCCUU
This 28-nucleotide non-coding RNA is filed under the name Homo sapiens (human). The record is from RNAcentral. Lineage: Eukaryota; Metazoa; Chordata; Mammalia; Primates; Hominidae.